AGAAUGGUCAUGAAUUUGGAAGGGAGGAGAAGAGACAUGGGAGGAACUGGAGGAAUGAGAGGGAGGGUGGAAAUGAUAUAAACACAGUACUCAUGUAUGAUUCUUAACAAAAAUAAAGGUACACUGAAAUGCUGAGGCCCUUAGGUCAAAGUAGCCAGAAUCUCUGCGGGAUGGGUGAAUGUGCCUGGGUUCUGGUGUCUUUAUUAAUGUUCCAUGGAUGAUGCUGUCAGCAAGCCAGGGCUAAGCUAGGCAAUGUCUUACCGGGAGACAUUACCAGUAAGGUUGGAGAGACUCGUGUGCAAGCAAGUGGGUCUCAAUAUCCUGGUAAUCUCUAGGUGGCCUUCUUGUCUUCAUAUCUGGAGAGUAUAUUUCCUUUGUGAUAUGCCUUUGGCAACUGAACAGGAUAGAGAGAGAAAUCACGGGUGUAGGGGGCGUUGCUCCCAUCCACGAGGCAUGGUGUUGGCAUUUCCUUUCCUUGCACACAUACGCUGUGAUCGCAUUACUGAAUAGCCUAGGGUACUCAAUAGAGGGGUGGGAGCAGUUGCUCCCAGGAAAUCUUUCAUCAAAGUGAUGCCAUAGCUAAGGGCAUAGCAGGGAUAUUACUGAGAUGGCAUUGCCAAUUAGUAGACAGCCGCAAGGAGAACUGUGAAAAUGGAGGUCUGGGAGAAUGAUGGGAGAAAGAGUGGACUGGAACAAAGAGAGACAAAGGCAGGGAGGGUGAUGCUGGAGGGAACGGUGAUGCCUUUAGAAUGGGGCAGGCUGUUGAAGGUCAUGGUGCUCUUUCUGAGCCACUGGAAGCCUUGUUUAGGAAGAUGAAAUAGAGUUAGACACAGUGAUGGUCCUCUUGUGUGCAGAUUAGACUUACAGGUGUUUUUGGGCACCCCAUCCCUGGAGGGACGGAGAGUGGUUGUAGCAGGGGAUGUUAGUAGUUCAAAGAAGGCAGUGGCAUUUAAAUUGGUGUCUGCCACCCCACUUGCAGCUCACAGCGGGCCUAUGAUGUAGGCAAUUGGUGAUUGCAUUUCUUUUUCAUAAGUGGAGAAACUGAGGCUCAUGGGUCUUUCAGUGAUUACGUUCAGAAAUUCAACUGAGCACGUCUUACCUAGUUGUGCCUUGAAAAACUUACAUUUCACCGUUAUGCCACCUCCUCCUCCUUCAUCUUCUAUGUGGGCAAACUGAGGGAGUAGAGGACCUAAGAGAGUGUUUUCAUAGGCACCCAGCUUUGGGGGUUCCCUAUCUUCUUCAGGGAGGCCAUAUCUCCUUGUAGACCUUUGGCUUGCUAAGCUCCGCCCAAGCCCCAGAGCAGAAGAAGGUGAGCUUAUCAGAGUGGCGAAGGUGUUCUUUUUGCUAGACAAACAUGGCUUUGGGGGAUUGCCACACCCCUAAAAGUAAAUGGCAGAUGAUAGGAAAGCAUCACCUUUUCUGGGGGGCGGGGAUAGUGCAGAGAGGACCAAUGGACUCCCUGCAGAGUUUGCAACUGUGUCUAGGGCUUUGGUGAACUGAAGUUAAAAAAAAAAAAAAAAAGCUCAAGGCUGGAUAUCCAUUUUGAUUUGUGAUUUUUAAAACUUACACUGCUCCAUUUCCAAAAGGAAUUUGAAGAGGCAUGCUGUUUUCUCAGGAAAGUAAAAGAUGGUUUCCUUGUGUGAACAUUGCUAGAAAAUCAUCCGCCUUACCAAGUGUGAUAGGCUAUGGAACAAAUUACGAAAGCCUAGUGAAAGAGGCUAUGUGUUGACUCCUUCCUAGGUGAUUGACACUGCGUCACUCCCAACCCAGGGCUUGGGAGUGGUUAACUGACUCCUCCAGAAACCUACCAUAAACAACCAGUGAGCCUAAGAUUUGAACCUGGCUUUGUCUGACUCCAAAGGGACAUAUUAGCCUAUUUUUCUUAUUAUAAUACAACACCCGUAAGCUGAUAACUUCUUGUAGCAAAGACAUUUUAUAUUUUAGAGUUUGAAAAAUGCAAUUCAAGACCAGGCAGUCCUAUGAGCUCUGGUGAGGACCUGCAGUGAAUAGAAUCAUGGCUGGAACUUGUGUAGCUGUGAGAUUACAGUGUAGGACAGGACACUAGAGAGCAAUCAGGAACCAAGGCUACACUUAUAAACAGUCAGCUCUGGAAAGAACCAACCUUGGAUCCCAUGCUCUCAGGUUUUCAUUUCUGUGACCAGAUACUUCUAAAAAAAUAAUUUGAAGGAUAGAAGACUCCAUGGUCACAUAGAAGGUUCCAUGGUUCCUGGAUGACAGGGAGUGGGAUGCACCAUCAUGGUGGGUACAGGUGACAGAGUAGAGAUGCUUACAUCAUGAUGACCAGGAAAGGAAGGCAAGCUAUAUCUUUCCAGGCACCCCAGUGGCCUAUUUCAUGGAAGUAGUCUUCAGCUCCUACUAGCCCCUUCCAUUCUGAACUGAUCCAUGAACUAACCUACUUGAUGAAGUUAUUGCCAUAGUAAGCCAAUAUCAUCUCAGUUGCACUACCAGUGGGGAUUAAGCCUAAAUAAAACACAUAAGCCUUCAGGAAGGGGACUUCAUACCCAACACAUAACAUGCACUAAUCCCUUUCAGAAGCAGGGCCAUCAAUGAUCUAAAGUUCUUCCACUCUACCUAUCCUCUUUAAGUUUCUUCUGCCUGUAUCUGGACUUGGCUACUUCAUUGGUUCUUUUAUCUUCCACCCUUCUCCACCCCCUUUCACCCUUUCAGCACCCUAGCGUUAGAUAGGAGAGAAAAAAGCAUAGAGGGGAAAGGAAAGAGAUCCUUCAGUAAAGUCAGGGUUUGGAAAGUGGGUGAUGUUAUUGUGAGACUACUUCCUACUGAUUAGGGGGCUUCAAGUUCUUGGUGGCAAAUUUGAUCUUCAUUGUCAGGAUAUCUGAUUUCUUCUUUCUUCUUUGCACAUGACUACUUAACAAACAGCGACCAACAGAGACUGACGGUAAUCAACAACAACUAACAGCAACUAACCAACAACCAACAAGCCACACCACCUCUAACAUUUAUAUACCCUCUGAAAAGUUUGCAGAAUUCCAAACAUCACACAAUUGCAGAAACUAUAUGCAACUGGCAAAAUCAUGUCCCUGCUAGCGCAUAAGGCAAAUCAUAGUUACCUACUGUGGACAGUUGGAAGCAGCCCCAUUGUCCUACAGCUGGGAUCAAAAUGAAACCAUAUUUCUGUGUUUUUCAAAGAAACCAAAAUUCUUACUACAAUCACCUCUCAAUAGUAUUCAUAAGGGACCAAGCUCCCAUAUAUGAUACCUUGGGGUAUAAACUCAAACAACAUAGAGCUGGUGAUAUUUCAACUCUGUGACAGAGUUAUGUGUAUGCAAACAGGAUACCUACUGGUGGAAGUCAUUGGUUAGGUUACGAAGCAGCAGUUAUUCUGGUUGCUACUUUAUUUGUCCAUUUACGGAAUAUUUGAUAAAUGUCUAUUAUGUAUUAGGCACUACUCCUGGACUGGUAAGUCAGACCAUAGCUUGGCUCUCCUGGAUCUUGAUCUCUAGUGGGAGAAAUAAGUAGUAGAAAAUAUAACAACAAAUAAACUGAGUUAAAGGUACUAGAGAGAAGGAGACAGUGGUAAAGCAUGCGUGGCCAUAGGGAGUGCUUUAAACUAAAGGGUCAGGGAAGAUCCUCGUAGAGAGCUAUCAGAUGAGCCGAGUCCUGUAGAAUAAGAAGGACAGAUGUUCCAAAGCUCUGGCAGUGGGGAGGAAUUGAUGCAGAAUAAAGAGGAUCUGUCCAAGCUUUGAGAGGAGACCUGAGUUUGGCAUAGUAGUCGGACAGCAGAAGCAUCAACUAGGAAAGGGUGGAAGAGAGGUAGGAGAGGAACAUGGGGAGGGAGGCAGGAGCCAGAUGGAAGAGAGCCCACCUCCCAUUGUGAGGAGAGAGGGAGGGGGUUGCAUUUGUUCCUAAGUGGCAGGGUGCCAUCAGAUGGGCUUUAGUGAGGAAAUGACAUAAUAUGAUUAAAAUCUUUAACGUGACGCUGUGUAGAGGUUGGAUUGCGGGAGGCAAUUUAAAGUAUUGGCCAGAGUGUUCUGUCUCCUAUUUGUCUCUGUCUCUCCAGAUUGAUCAAAUCUAGUUCUUGUAAUGACCUCUGCACCAAAAGCCAAGCCAAACCAUGCCAAGAUAAACCACAGAAACUUAUUUCUGUGACAUUCCCAUGGAAUUCUUUCUCAAGAGCGAUUGGUGUUUCAUCGGGCCCUUGGAUAUCUAGCUCACCAUCUUAAUUGCCUGAUCUAGUUUGUCCCAUUCUUAGUAAAAUGUAGCACCUACCAUUAAAUGCUUUUGAGACAGGCUGGCUUUGUACUCCUUAUAAUGUCCAGGUGGACUAAAACCUAUGAGCCUCCUGUCUAAGCCUCAUGUUGAGAAUACAUGAGCGAGCUCCAAGUACAGAUUUUAAACAUAGUUUUGAUCAACUCAGGAUUCCGAAGGACUGUUAAUUCCAAGUUUGCUCAUUAAUGAAGAAGACUAGACUAAGUCAUUAUAGACCAGAUGCUCUUAACAUGGGGCCUCUGGGUUCAUCGACAUACCUCAUCCUCUUUCAUUAAUGUCUUCAGUAAACCCUUCUCCUUGUGGAUUAUUGGAACAGAAAGUUAAAUCAAGAGGCUUUUAAGCAGAAACUACAAAUGCAUCCCACUCUGGUCCCCCAUUCAUUCUCUUCUCGCUGCUGCAAAUGCCUUUACAGAUACCUUUAUCACUUCGUCACGUCUCAUACUUCACUUAAGAUUCCUUCUUUAGUUUCUUAUAAAUCAUUCAAACCCAAAGACAACAACCUCUGUUUUCUUCUUAGAUCAGGAACUGAUAAGGGAUGCUGCCCAGCUUGGAGGGAGAGACCGUAUUGAGAGAUGGCUGGAAAGCGGGCGUGGGUGGGGUAGGGGGAUGUUUUUGCUUUUCCUUUCCUUUUUGGACUGAUGGUUUCUGGAACUGAACUAUGCCACUGACUUGCAAACUUCCUAUGAGUAGGGACAGAACCUGGUAAAGACCUUGAACAUAGCUAAUGCAAAGGGCAAAGUCAUCUGAAAAAGAAUUAUUAUUCAUUUCCCAUUGCAGUUAAUUUUGGCACCUUCAUCAGGGUUUAAAUUCUAGUACCAUAUCAUAUCAAAGGGAAAAAGUAUUUGAUGUACGUGUUAAUUACUGCUAAGAUGUAGCUACUUAAAUCAAGAGUUUAAUCUUCAUUUGACUAUUCAGAACAGCUCUGAGUAGGGGGGGUGCAGAGAGCCCCUUUUGAUUUGGGUUAUUUAAAUAGGUGAUGAGAACUUCAAGCAAAAUGGCUUCCUAUGUUCUAAACUGGCAUUUGGAUGUCUUGCAAUUAGUAUCCAGCAGAAGGGAAAACAGCUAAGAAAAUCGAGUUCCUCUAGGAAUUCCCAUGUCUCUUUGCCUUUUCUCUGAAGUUGGAAGAAAGUUCUGAAAAACAGUUUCAUGUGUUCAAAGGCUUGAGACUUUUGUGAUAGACUAAUAGUAAAUGAUAUCUUAAAAGCAUGCCAGAGGCUUAAAAAUUAGAUCUAUGAAGAAAACAAUACACGAUUAUUUAAAAGCACAAAUUGUCAAAAUGAUGCUACUCUGAGAUAGAGUCUUCGUGGGAAACAUCUUGGAUGAAUCCCUAAUGUGCCUGUUUUAUACCAUGAAAGUCUAAAACUCAUCGAAAUGCCAUGUUAUUUGCUUAGUGAUUAAAUCACAGACAUUUGUUACAGCUUUACAAGAACAUUGUUUUCUUGGAUUUCCAAAGCUUUAUUGCCUCAGAUAUAACACUUUGCUCCUAAUAAUCCCUAUUGAUUUUAUUAUAUUACCCUAUGGUUUUAGAUAUGUUUCACUGCCACACUCUAGCCUUAAUGUGCUUUACAAAAUGAGAUAUGCUAUCAUGGUUCUCAAGCCUUCUGUAGAUAAUGAUCUUGCUCAGGAUGGGUGGAAAAAUGUUCAUUCCUAGAGUCUGGGGUGUGUGAAAGGGGAGGUUGUCUCUGAUCUUGGGCACUAUCUGGACAUUGCUCUAUCCCAGGGUGUUCGAGGUGUUGUCAGAUUGGGAGGACCACUAUGAGUUGCAUCUUUGAGGAGCCUCAAGAGAUUUCAUCUAUCUCUUUGUUUUGCUUCCCUUUUGAGAGGCCUGUGGCUCGUACAACGUACUUGGUUUAUGGCAAUUAUCCAUAUGCUGAACUGGCUUGUGGAGAACCCGGUGUUUUCAGAGAAAGUCAUGGAACCUCUGGGUAAGGUUUAAAAUGUCUUUUCAAGAUGCUUUCUAAAUGUUGUUUAAAAUGGUGAUUUAUUUGAUCUCAGGUUGACUUGACACCCCCAUUCUUUAGAUAAAGGUUUUGGGUCUGCAGAACAGAGGGUCACCAUGCAGGAGUUGGGAAAGGAGUCUGGCUGGUGAGUAUAGGAAGGACAGCCCCUGAGAGUCCUCCUGGCUGUUACUGAGGGACACAGGGAACCAUGUGUCUCAUACUAACCAGCUCUCAGUGUGGCUAACUCUUCAUUAUACUUUACAGGAGACUAGAUUCUUGAUAUCUGGGGGCUCAGAUUCUACUAGAGUUAAGUACAGCAGCUUUUUCUGAGUCCUGAUUCCACUUCUCACUGUCUUAACUGUCUGUGCCUAGUGCUUCAUCAGCAACAAUUGCAUAAAUGCCCACAGUAGAUCUCAUAGGUAGGUAUCAAGUCUCACCAUAUAGUCUGGAGUUGGCUUUGACCUCUCUCUGUCUCUAGCGUCAGACUCCCAACUGCUUAUAUUACAUACCCUGCUAAGAGAUAUACUAAUAUUAACUCUUUCAUUUAUUUAAAAAUGUUUAUUUUUAUCACUUUAAAUUAUGUGUAUGUACGUGUGUUUCUGUGUGGUUAUGUGCUCAUGAAUACAGGUGCCUGUAGAGGCCAGGGGCACCAGACCCUCCUAGAGCUGGGGUUUCAGAAAAUUAUGAGCUACCUGAUGCGCAUGCUAGGGACCCUCUGGAAGAGUGGUACAUUUCCUUAACCAUUGAGCAUCUUUCCUGCCCCUUAGCUCCCUGCCUGCCCAGCAGGCAUGGACAGGUUAACUAUCACUCCUAAGGCCAGAGUGCUACUUAGAGAUGGUCCCACAAAAAACUAACCAUCACAACACUUAGCUUCCAAGGCUUUAAACUAACUACUAUACUUAUACUAUACUUAUACUAUAUACUUAUAACUUACAAAGAAUCACCCACUAUUUAGGUUCGGAAAACAGAAAUAGGCAGUCAUUUGUCUACGGUGACAAAACCCAAACUCUUCGUUUUUCAAAUACACCCACACAGUGGAAGAUCUAUGAACAUGUCAUGGGGAGGGAAGCUGAAGACAGAAGCAGACUGCUCCAUGAGCAAACUUGCCCCUCCUUGCAGUGUCUGACACAGCCCCUAGGGGUCAGUGUUUAAAUCAGCAUGCUGCCUCAGUAUGGAUUGUUUGAAGGCAUGCAGGGACCCUCUUCCCUGUACGUGCUGCAUUUCACUCUAAUUUCAAAUUCAUAGGGAGGAAGGGAUGAUGUCGUAUUCUAGCUGAGGUUGAGACAAACCUGGGACUUUGUGAUCACCAAAGUUCCUGUGUGGUCUUGAUGGAGAGGGAAACCAAUACGAAGGAGCAAAUGAGACCACAUGAAGCUGAUGGGUUGUAAGGAAGGAGAGGGGUGCCUGUGCCCAGGGUCUGUGCAUAGGCUUUCAAGUCAGCACUUAAAAUUAAACAUCAUAAAGGGAAAGUCACCGUGGAACAUCAAGUUGGAAAACAGACACAUACAUGGAGAUCUGUAUCCUCAGCAGACUACAGAAAAAAGUCCCCCCUCCCUCUGCUAUUAAACACAUCGAGCCUGUCCUGCUCAGCUCCGAAGGUGCUGCCGGUAGAAGUCUUAGGACAUUGAAGAACUCACAGUGAGUGGUUCUCUGCAUGUGAGUGCUAACUGGCCAGAAUGAAAGACACAGGCAAAAUGGAGUGUCUGAGGAGUGAGGCUCUCCUGGCCUGCCAUGUUGCUUCCUACCUGGAGCCAAGAGGGUCCCUCCUCACUGAUGAUGAUGAUGAUGUGGAUUUAGUGCUUUGAGAUCCCUGGAGGACAAGUCAGGACACAAAUGAGGACAGUGCCUUUUGGAUCCAAAUCAAUAGGAAUAAAGAAGGAGGAAGAUGACAGGGAGAACAGGGGGUGCCAGAGAGAGAGGUGAAGUUUGUGUGUCCCCAGAUCAUCUCUUUUCUCCUUAAACAGAUUAUUUUUUUCUUCUCUGAUUUCUGCAUGGGAGAAAAACAAAACCUGAGAUCUUUCUUAGAACACGAAGCAUGAAUCACUCCCGCCAGACAGAAGAAGAAAGUGCCAUCAGGUGUUUAAAAUGCAAUUAUGUUUGGAAAGGCUAAGACUUAGAUGUUUAUUUUCAGCAGACAAACAAGUACAUGUCUGUACAGUGUGGAAACUCUCUCUCCUUUCCAUUCAGGUGGCCCCAGAGUAGUCAGGGACACCCUCCUGGGUAGGUCACCUGACAGAUUAGGCUCACCAAGCCCAGGCUACACGUUGUGUAAUUCAGCAUUAAGUAUGCUAUUGAUUCACUGAAGUGCUGCCAUGGAUGUUAAUGGAGACAAAUAUUGUGGCUGUGAGUUUUCAAAGGGCUGAGUAAUUCCCAGACAUCAAUAACAUCUGUUAUGAUGUAAUGCAGGGCAACCUCAAGAUGCUUGACUUGGGGCCAAUCAUGGGACAGGGCCUCUGGGAGGAAAAGGAGCUAAGAUAUUGCUAAGUCUGGGGACUUCAGACUGUGCCCUGUUGUAGGAAUAAGAAAAGUUCCUUCCCUUGCUGUCCACAGCUGCAAUAACAACAUAGCAGGACCACCAUGAUUCCACCCAAUCCUGCUACCACUUAACUGGACAUAUGUGAUCACAGAGAUUGCAUUCAGAGAGGGCAGGGGACUUGUGUAAGGUCAAUCAUCCAGGUAGCUACAGACUAGGCUUAAAAGUAGGGUCUUGGGAUUUCAUACAGGUCUAUUCUUGAUACUUGCCAGUACGAUUUCUGAAAUCCACUUGAAUAUAUGGCCAGGAGCAAGUGAUAUUUCCUUCUAAAAAGCUUCACUGAGACACUCAGGGUCAGUAAUUGGAAGGAAUCAAUUACUCUCAAACAAAUCCCCAUUUCAGUCAAAUUCUGCAGGCUGCCCAAUCUUUCCUACACUCAGGUUCAUUCUCUGCACUGCUUCUCACAUUAUCUGAAAGAUGAAUCUGAUCGUGUCACUCUCUAGAAUGAAGACCUCCAUCAGCCUCUCCAUCUCUCCUCAGAAUAAACAUGCUCCCGGUACAUCCUCACUCCCAGGCUGCACAGUCUCCUAUCCUGUCCCUGUUCUUCCCAGCAUGCUGAACAUUGCUGUUGUUCCAGACCUGUUUAACCUCCUAACCCUGCAAAUAAGCAAUUCCCCAUGAUUGGACCACCUCCUCCCUCUUUGCUGCUCAGGAAACACCUACCCAUCGCACUAGCCCCCAAGAACCACGGCAGAUAAAAAAGAGUUUUUCUGUAGAGUUCCAGAACACUGUCCAUCUGUUGUUAAUCAUAGGGGUUGCCAAAGACAUGACGUUUCUUUGCUUACCUAUUUUUGUUUUCAAAUUUGAACUUCAGUGCUCAAGAUUUGUCUUUACUUUGACUUCAGGACAUAGAGGAAUAGAUCUCUAAUUGACUGAUAAUCUUUCACCCAGUUGGUUAGGUUUCAUAAUGCUGGAAGGUGCUAUUCAGGCUGCUGGAAGAGCAGACAUUAAUAGUUUUAUCCAGCACUCGACAUUCCAUGCUACAGUUCUGACAUAUCAGCCAAGAUGUGCCCCACUACUGUAAUAGUGGCAUGACUGUUAUGGGGUUACUGGAUGCUUUUUGAUUGGAUCUGAAGUCUGCUCAACAGGAGGGAAUUUUAUGCUUCUACAACGUGGGGGUCCUAAGUCCUAAGUCAGAACCUGUAUUUUGUUAAAUGAUAAAGUUAUGAAAUUGCCUUCUAAAUAUUUCUAUUUAUACCUACAGACAUGGGCUGCUCUCAAUCUUAAUUGGAGACACCUGUUUGUUUAUUUGUUUAUUUGUUUAUUUAUCUUAACAGUGAGUAUAGGUCAAUGGAGAGAAUAAGGGGCUAAGCGCUCAGUCCUAAGUGGGAUACUUUAUUAGCUUCAAUAACCCCCAGAAAGGCUCAGGGAACACGGAGGAAGAGCCUGAAUUUAAGAGCCCAAGGACGGGAAGGAGUGCUGUGAAAGGCUUUCAUCUGGGCAUGAAUGGCAUGAGCAUUGUGACCGUGUCUACACACACCAGUUGAGGCUACCCGCACAAGUGUUACUCAAGAUCAAGCCAAUAGCUGUGUAUAUAUGGGGGAGAUGAUCUCUAGGACCUACCCCUUAUAGAGGAGCUCCUGGCUGCUAAGUCAGGAAAAAAAAAAUCAUUCUUUAGGGUAUGGCCACUAGCAAGCUUUCCAUACCCCAGCAGAUGACCACACACUCAUACACACAAGGGUAAGACCAACUGAACUUAGUCAGUCACUCAAAAAGAAGACAUGACAUUAGAAUAAACAUGUGUUGAAGAAGAUACAGGCAGAGUUGGAAGGUAGAAAGGGCAGUAUAUGUGUUAAUAUUUCACUGUGUACAUGUCUGAAAUUCUCAAAGAACAUCUGUGCUCUUGGCACAUGUAGGACGGGAUGCUGUAGACGAUUCUUUGCUGUUUAGAUAAAUGGGUUUGGAAUCAGAAGCCCGUUAAGAUGAGAGUUUAUAUCAGGGCUUAGGGUAAGCACACUGGCCCUGUGAAAUACAGGUUUUUAUAGAAUUGGGUCUUGAGACCCUCCAGGGAUUGAGAACUGAGGUCAGAAAAACAAGCCUUCUCUUAGCCACGUUAGGUAACUUGGAAGGGGUCUACAAGGUUGGGUGAUCCCUUGCCACCAUGCUCCUUGAAAUUAGUGUCCUCAAGCUUAUGUGCAUCAGAUACCAUCCUGAGGACUAUAAUCCUGACAUUCUAACGGAUGAAGUUGCACACAGAUUCAGCAGACAUUAGAGUGAUGAGCAACAGUAACAGACCAGUGUUCAGUAAUGAGUAGGGCAUGUACAUGUGCAGCUCUGAGGACAGACUGCAGAGCUACAGUAGAAUCACAGAGAUUCCUUUCUGCAAAGCAUUGGUUGUCAUUGACCAGUGUCUUGGGGAAGUAUCAGGAGACAGAAGAAGAAACAGUCUUAGGUGAGGGGGCUGGGAGUAGAGGCCACUGGCCAGCCGGUAUGAAAUCAUUUUAGGAUGUUAACGGCCCCUGAUGCUGCUGCCCAGGUACAAUAGCUAUUGGUAGGUCCCCUUAAAGGGCAAGCACAAAUUUGAAUGUGUGUGUGUAGGAAUGAUAUUUGUGUAGGCUAGAAGCUUUUGAGAAAACCCUUACCUUUGUGAUUGAACUUUAGUAUUCCGAGAAGUAAAAGGGAAGGAUUUCAGGCUGGGAAAUGAGCAAGCAGAACAUUGUGGGAAGUGUGAAUGCAACUGUUGGGGAGGCAAGCCUGGGAUGCCCAGGAGCGCUGGGGGAAGAGGAAGGAGAAAACAGCUAAAUCCAGGCUGUGAGCAGCUUUGAAAGCCAAAUACAAGCCUUGUUAUCUUGCCUGUGAUGCCUCGGGCAGCCCGCUAGCCCAAGCUAUUGCUGGGGCAGGCUUCAGGGUGGCCCCUGCUGGGACAACCAGUGGUGCCAUCUUCGCCACGUCUGAGCCUGUCACCUGGAGAAGGGAGCAGGCUUUCCCUUAAUUAAGAAUGUCAUGGCAGCUCCCUGGCUCAUGGUGACUGAUGCUGCCCAUCCGGCUGCCACGUCGCCAAUGUGCCUACAUGGUACAUCAUCUCCUAAUUAACACAUCUUGUCAGGUCUAGCGGCCAGCUUCAGUAAACAUGCUCUGAGCAGCUGUCACUGGGCCCCUGUGUGGGACCUGCUGCCUCAUUAGUGUUGGGAAGGGAGGUGGCACAAGCAUCAGGGAGCAAGGCAAAAAUGAUUUUUAUGGGGGUGUUGGUAGGGUGAGAGGGAUACCAGAAGAACUGAGGGUCCAGUAGAGGGUUUGGCACCAAGCACCAUGAACCGUUCCUUCUCCUUGAAGACAGGGUGGGUAGCAGUAUGCUUAGGAAGAAGACCCUGGGACCAGAGACCUGCUUCUCACUCUGACUCUCCUACCACCCAGAGGCCUCAGACUGCUCCAGAGAAAAGCGUGAGUUGUCUUGACUCAUCCUACCUGGAAGUUCUGCUGAGUGAGUCUUAUGGGGCAAUAAGCCAUAUUGUUCUGAAGAAUAAAAUCCCUAAAAUGGCAUCCCCUGGGGACACAAGAAGAAAUCUUUAGCUCGGCUCUACAAUGUUGCUUGGUACACACCUUAUUCACGCUUCCAAACUUCCCUUCUUGUCUGCUAGUGGCAGUGUCUCUCCUCUCUGAUCAAGUGCUGACUCUCUACAUUUUCUCAUGCUGGUCCAACUCCUUCCCUUUGUUAAACCUAGCCAGUCUUACCUUCUCCCUGAGAAGGAAUGUGACAACAUCUCAGAGAGAAAUGCAGUCCCAUGCAUCACCCAAACACUCCUGCUCUUUUUUUCUGGCCUGGCCUGUAAGUGACUGAGGACAUUUCCCCUGCAUCUUGAGUUCUGUGUAUCUAACUCUGCAUCCAUGAGAGUGCAUGGUAGGCAGCUGACCAAUGUCUGUUGGCCCAUAAGGCAAUAUAUUCCUUUCUCAGAGUUCUCACAAGAUUGGCAAACUCAGUUUCCCUCAACAGUUUGUUGUUUGCUAGUCUAUCAAUAGGUUUUCUUUCAGGGUCUGACCCUGCUCUUCCAGGGCCGGGCUUACAACAAAGACUCACCAUUGCCAUUCUCCCUACCUGCAAGCAGGGUGACUUUCGUCCUUCCCUGUCUUCCUUUUGUGUAUUUGAUUUGCUCUGUCUGUGUGGGGUAGCCUGCUGCCUGAAGCUGGUCCCUGCUCUCUGCUGCUCUCUUUCCAUCAUACUGUUCCUGUGGAGGGUCUGUCCUGGGUGAAGUCUGAGCGACUGACGAUGCUUUGGAAGCAUCUGGUAGCAGCGGGGAGGCCGACUUUUCCAGCCCCUCAGAAGCACCAAACCCACACAAUUUGUAAAUCUCCGCUAAUGAGCAUUUAAAGGGCACAUCCUAAUGAAGGGAUUCGGGAAUGACUGGCCAGGAAAUGCAGGCUGAAGAUUUUAAUUACAAUGCUUCUGUGUUUUCAGUUUUCCUCUUCCCUCUUCUUUGCCUACUCCCCACCGCCCCCUCUCUGAUGUACAUCUUACUUCUGGAUCAGCAAAAAGAGAGGAUCUUAAGUUCUCCCUUGGUUAUCUUGCUCUUGAGGGCACGUGGAGAUUUCCUUCAGCCUGAGAGCUUGGAUGGUAGGCUUUGACAGAGGAUGUGCCCACGUGGGUAGAUGCAGUCCAGGGCUCUGUGGAGGGGCCAAGCCAAGCAGAUGUUUCUCCCCUGGAAGCACAGUGGGGAUCCAAGAGUGCUCAUGAAUGAGUGGCAGCUGCCAGCCUUGUGAGCUUCCUGGGGUGAUGAGAGCUGGGGCCAGCUGAGGGACUUCUGGGCCAAAUGGGUGUUUCUCGGGCCUCUUGUGGUGCUUUUCUUUCCCAGAGGCUAAAUGAAGAGUGGGGUGGGGGGUGGGGGUCAAAGCAGCUGCAGUCACAUUGAUCAUGAGAGGAACUGUUUCUUGAAAACCUUCCACUUUCUCCUCCAGGUCCAUGGCUACCUUGUCCACACCUCAGGAGUCUGAGCUGUGAGAACAUUUAUGCCACUGGUUUCUGGUGCGAUCAGAGAGGAGGCUAUGGUAGGAUGUGAAAAGAAAACAGAAAGUGACAUUGAUUUUUUUUGGGGGGGGGAGGGGGGAGGCUCUGAGGUAUCACCUGGAUAUGUCUCUUACUGGAACCUAUAUUCCCUGUCAAGGUGGUUUCUCUGUAGGACACUGGUGUUCUUUUGACUGCGUUCUCUUGCCACCCUGCAGAUCUGGAGUUUUAGUGGCCGUAUCCAUAACCUCAGGUUAUUCCCCAUGCACAGCCUUCUAAACAUCACUUUUAUUAUAAAUCUCCAUAUCAUCCCAGAUUUAUGGCCGAGUUGGGAAAGGUAUACAUGACUUGGCUUCACAGAAGCUGAUAGUCUGGGACUCUUCAGAGUUCUGUGCAAGGAGAAACAGAAGGCCCUUCUAUGUGGCACAGGCAAGCUGGCAGCAAGGGCUUGUUUUUCUCAAGUGUCUUGAUCUUCGCUAUAGUGCUGUUUUUACUUCGUAGAUAGGGUUCCGGCAGUUGAGUGAUUGACAAGAGUUUAGGAUGAAUGUCUGUCCAGCUAGAGAAUUUAAGCAGUGUUUUAGGGCUAAUGGUGAGAUUGCCCCCCCCUCUGCUAUUUUUCCUGCUCCUUCUUUGGUAUGAAGUCUUGAUUUGAGGACGGUUGUGGGAGGAGACUACAGCAAGUGAGGCCAUCUAUUGCUUAGGCUUCUGGGAUCUUUCUUUCCCCAGGAACCUUUACCUGUAACAGUGCAUGAGCCAAUCAUCCAGCUUUGCAAACUGAAGGCUGGCUGUACCUCAUUUAUGAACUUUGAGAAGGUGUGUACUGUCCAUAAAAGCUCAUCUUACUUCUGAUUAGCCUUUUGACCUGAGGUUUCACUCACAGUUCCCAACUCCAUGCAGGUCUGGAUUCAUUAGCACUUCUAUCCCAAGCUGACCAAGGGAAGCUAUGGUCUCUAGCUGACCCUGGGGUCAGCUGCAUCAUAUGCUGAUAUUUUCUCUCUCUCUCUCUCUCUCUCUCUCUCUCUCUCUCUCUCCCCCUCCUUAUGGCUCCUCUGUAGUUUACUCCCUGUUCCACCUCUAGGGGAAGCCCUGGGCAACUGGGAGAAAAAAAACAACACUUUCUCUCAAACAUGUCCUGCCUUCAGGGUCAGUAUCUGCCUCUGCCUGGUAUUAGCUACACUAAAAUAUUAAAUAAACCUUUAUCUUACACACAGUGACUCUGUACUUCUUUUCUGCUCUUCAUUUAGUUGUCUGUGCAAUCAGACACUAACCACUCAUUGGCUCAGCCAAUCAUUCUACUACAUAUGGGGAAUGUCUAGGGGCCAGAAUGAGCACACUUCUUAUUUCACCUUCCCCGACCUCAGCCAGAUGUGUUUCAUCAUUACUGCUAUUUUUCACUUGAGUAAAUGGAAUCAAUGGGCAAAGAAGCUGCGUGCUGAAGGUCAGAGGUCACACUGCUUGGAGAUGUUGAAGCUGGCAUCUUAUGCAUAACCAUGGGCACUCUCCAACCCCAGGAUGUUUUUAUUGACAGCUUGAGAUUGCGUGUGCACAGUCAGAGGCCCCUGAGAUGAUUUCACCUCUCUUCCCUGCUAACUACAAGCCAUUGGCUUUGUUCAGAACAGAUAGAGCCCUAUGCACUCUAGAGAGCCAGAGAGAGGAGGAGGGUAGCUGCCAAUGGAGAAGUGUGUGAUGGGACAGAUGGACCAAUUCACCCCGACAUGAUUUGCAUCUGUAGCAGAGGGGACAUGUCACGCUGUCACGGCUUUCCCCUGUAUUGACAUAAUAACAAUUCCUUUCUUUUCUUAGCACUUUGUAGUUUUCAAAGCACUUUCAAACCCAUUAGCUCAUUUUAUCCCUACCACAAUCUAGCAAGGAGGCAGGGACUGUUAUCCUGAUUUUGCAGAUGAACAGGCUCAAGAGCUGUGUAACUUAUCCUAGGUCCUGGAACUUGAAUGAAAACCUGAAUCUUGGAUUUCUUGUCUAUGUUCUGAACCUUGUUCAGCAUCAUUUUCUAGGAAGAAACAGGGCAACUCCCCCAGAACAGGAGCUCCUGGAGUUCCAAGCACCUGGACUACCUGAAGCCAUGGCUCUCAGGUCUGGGAGAUGGUUCAGUGGAUAAAACUUUUGGCACCAAGUGUGAAGCCUGGAGUUCAGACCCCCAGAACCAUGUAAAAGCUGGCAAAUGUGGCAAGCACCUGCGAUCCCAGCACUCAGGAGGCAGAGAUGGGAAAUCCAGGGCAAGCUGGCUAGUCAGACGAAAAGAAGGUGUCUACUUUCUGGUUCAGUGAAAGAGACUCUGCUUUAUAACUGAAGUGGAGAAAGAUGGAGGAAGAUAACCUAAUGCCAGCUUUGGGCCUUCACACACACACACACACACACACACACACACACACACACACACACCCCAAUACAUACACAUUCAUGUGUGUGCAUGUGUGCAUGCACACAUACACAAUAGAGUGCAUGCACACAUAUAGGCACACACACCAUGUCCCUACUACAUGUGCCCCCAUAUGAGAACAUAUGAACACACACAGAUACGUAUGAUAAAUACAUAAACAAAUAAAUAAAUAACUUUUAGUGAUUCUCAUAUUUGCAUAAAUUUUUGGAUUUUACUCUUAAAGGUACUGACUUAAAACUGCUGCAUGAAACCUAUGAAGUGCCACCUUCCCUCCCCCCUCCCCCACUGUCACCAUCUCAAUCAUGGGGGCCUUGCACAUGCUAGACAGUUCUCUAUUACAAUGCUCUACCUCCAGUCUAGAAUCUGCAUUUCUAAUGGAAAGUUUUGACGAGGCUGGUCCUGGGGGCAAGCUCUGAACUAAAAUGGCGCCUCACUUCCAUCUUUACCAGGGCUCAUAUAAUCAGCUAGAGUAGAAAGAAUUGCCUCUGUGUCUCUCCCAGUCAUGAGGAAUUAAUGUGUGUCUUGCCUCCCUGACUGAUGCCUGUGUGGUCCACAGAAUGGGGAAGAAAACCCCAGGCUUUUUGGUUCACAUACAAAAGGAAAAUGUCCACACAUGUGAUUAUUAAUUCAUUGUUCAAUUAAGUUAUGAUCUCUAAAAUUAUCACAAUAUUUGGCUCGGAGGAAAGCAGCAUUGAAUAGCUUGUUCCACGUAAUGUGCGAAUAAUGUAACUUUAUUACUUUUCUAGCUCGCAAGUAAUUGUGACUGACACAUUGGCAAUAACACGGAUCACCUUCCUCCCCUCCCCUCUUCUUGUUCACAGCCUCAGGCAUUUCCUUUCUUGUCUCUUUCCUUGCUCACCCCCCCUCCCCCGUUAACAACCUCCUUUCUGUUGCAGGGUCUGUUCUAUCCUGCCUCAAAAAGCAACCCUGGGAGGAGGCAAUGGUGUGAAGGACUAUGGACCAAGCUGUUGGGAGCCCUCAUUAAAGCCUGCCUAAACUUGUGUUCACACUUCUGUUUCUGACAUGUCUCUUACAUGUGUGCUUAGAGCUGACCUGAGAGACAGCUGGUGUUAAAGUGAAGGUGGACAUUUCUGUCUGUUGUUGUUAUUGUUGUUUGUUUGUUUUUACUUUCUACUCCCUUUUAGUCCUGAACUUAGCCUGCAUCCCCCAUUGCCUAGAUCUCUCAGAAGCCUUUCAUUCAUCUGAGCCCUGGGCGCCGAGGCUACAGAGGCUACAUCAGCACCUCGGACAGCUCCCGUGCUUGUUUUCCCAGGAGGCCCCUGGAUUGCACAAGGACACAGUGAGGGGAAUGUGCUGACAAGUCCUCAUCCAUACUUAUCCAUACUUAUCUCCCUAUGCCCAGCCAGUUGGAGUCUAAUUUUUAAAUCACUCUUUGGCCGAUAAAAUCCAGCUUAUACAUUAUCUUGUCUUGCUUUACAUCAUCCAUCAGUGUAUAUUUUCGCACCAGCAAAUGUGUCUAGUUAGGCAGAAACUGGGUGCUGACACCUUCCCCACCGUAUAGACAUGAGGAAGACAGGGAGGACAUACUGGACUGAGAUGUUCUUUCACAUGGCUUGGUUGUGUUCCCACUGCAUGGUUUGUGUUCAGACCCCAUUUCCUGCCUCUUUCCAUCUCUUUUGAAACUGUACUCCAUAGGAAUCAGACCUGCUCUCUGGGGAAUUUUUCUGUCCUGUUCUGAGCUCUGGUUUAGUGACCUGAUUCCACUCUCUUCCAAGCCCCAGUGGGGAGUGAAUGUGAUUCUUUUUCAGAUACUGCAUCAUAGGCAGACUGUACUGCUCUGUCCAUACACAUUAGAGGCUGUGGAGUGGUGGACCUGCAGCCCACUUUAGAAGUGAGGGUACCAAGAGCUACCAGUUGAGCACCUACAUUACAAUGUAUGCUUCAUGAGGAAUAUUUGAUGCAGUCUUUGUAACACUCAAAUGCAAAACGAAACAUUGCUCCCCAUCUUAUACAGCUGACCAGUGUUAGAGUCAGACAUCUUGACUUCCUAACAUGCACCAUUACAAUAGCACAGAUGGCCACUCCUCUAGGUAGAUGUCUACCCCCACCCCCAAUCCUAUGACACCUCUAGACACAAUUGAAUAGAAGCAGCUGACGGCCUUGAAGGUAAAGCCAACUUGGGGGAGGGGUGGGACAAUGCUCUGUAGUAUUCAGGGGAACAACCAUUCAGAUACAAGAGUCUGGGAAGGAUUCCAAAAGGAAAGAAGGCUUGAGUUUAGUUCCCAAGGUUUAAGGUUUGCUUUUUCAUGGGGAAAAGGAUAAAGGGAAUCAAAUUUCUCUGGCUAGUAGUUCCCAGGGCAUACCUGGCAAAUAUACACUGGGGCGUGACACUGUUCUCUCUCCACAAGCCCUUUUUAUGUGGUCCACCACCCUGGGUCCUCUGUUCUAUGUCUAUAAUAAUUUUAUCUCGUAGUGCCUGAAAUCGGACCCUGGGCUCUAGGCUCCAGAUCCAAGCCCUCUUGGUGGCCUUGCUGGUAUUCUUCUCACUAUGCUUCACAGUUCCUCUGGUCUUCUAGAAGUACACUAUCCCAGAGAGAACAAGCGGAGAGGGCACAUGCACCUAAGAGAGAGCACCAUGGAGCUGAAGAGUCAGAGCCACUGUACUCAGCGAGAGAGGCAGUCCAGAUUAUGGCUCUGUUUGCCAUUAACCUUCUAGAUCAGGACUCAUUCUGGUCUGAGUGUGAGUGGUCAGAGAACACUCUCUGAAGACUAAGCUUUGCUUCUUUGCUCAGUAGGUUGGACUCAACCUUGAAUUUGUGCCCUAGCAAGUGCCGUGUCGUGAGGCUAGGUUGGGUAACUCACUUCUAGGCAGGCACAGAGCGGUGUGUGCUGCCUAUUGCUGCCAAGGGUCUUGUUCUGCUGAUGCUCAUGGGGGAAUUUCUGUGCUUUCACCAAAGGAAGGAUCACAGGGAAAAUCACUGUCAGAAAUAUGAGUGAGUGAUACACACAGGGUUUAGACUUAGGGGUUAUACGGUGGCUUCGGGGGAGCGGAGAAGAGUCAUUGUUUAGAGGAAUGAGCUGUUUGGACACCUCCAGGCUCUAAGCAAAGAAUAAUGGGACUAUUGGGCUCAGUCAUUAAGGGCCAGUGCACAAGAGGAGGGCAUUGGUUGGGUAGGUAAGACUGAAGAAAAUGACUCCUCUAAGACACAGAUGUCUUUAAUUUAAAGUCUGUUUCUCAAACCCAGUCCCCACCCUAGAGUGACAGAUGUGGAGAUAGAACUCAACUCUGUCAUUUGCUAUUUUUAGGGCUUUCAGGGAAACUACAAAACACUGCCUUUCUGCUUUCUUGUUUGCAAAAAUGGAGGUGGUAUACAUCCUUCUUAGAACUGAGAGACAAUGGAUACUCAGGGUAGACCCAAGCCAUGGCGUGCAUCGGGUGAACAGUAAGCAUGGACUACUGUUACUGCUGUUCUGAUUCUUGAGUCAAUUACUCUCCUUUUACUGUGGAGGGAAUACCCCUUUCAGAGAUUUUGAAGGAUAUAAUGAAACAGUCUGGUAGCACCUAGUGUAUACGAAAUACAUGAGAAUUGAGUGUCUUUCUUUGACUCCAUUCUGAAGUGUAUUCUCGUGAGGGCUCUUGAUGUUCUUAACUCUGGUGGGAGAAAAGAUAGGAUGCUGUCAGCUGUGUGAGAGCUUUGUCUUCAAAUUAGGCUGACAUUAUGGAAGUCAUCCUGCCUCCUGGACAUGGCAGCUUUCUGACUCAUACUUCCUGCUUUACUGUCUUCCUGUACGCGCUCCUCUUCCCAUACUCGUACUAGGCUAGGCUCUCUCAACAUCCACCUGAAUUCUGGCUUUUCUGCUGUUAUGGUCCUUCCCUGAAAGACUACAGUGAGUCCUUUUGUACCUCCUCAGAGCAGUAGGAGGUACUGAGUAGGUGCUCUGAUGUUGAAUUUGAUCCCUGGAUCAGCCACUUAAUGUGUAUUUUUAAGAGAGCCACUUGGUGUCAGAGACAUUUGGCAUCUCAGUAUAAGGAGGUCAACACUCAUGUUGGGUCAUUACUGAGAGGUGAAAUGGGCGAAGAAGAGAACUUCCUUACUGGUAACUUAAGGUCUGAUUGCCAUGUUGCCUGAAGUCAGUGUGAGUGGGGAAACUCAGAAAUCCAUAGCAGCCACAUGGUUGUACCAUGCCACAGUCUUCUCGCCAACUUCUGCUUUUGUCUGUGUGCUCCGAAGGCCACUGCCAGCUGUUUCUGGCCUUCCUCUGCCUCUUGGCCUCUUGUUCACCCAGCUCAUAUCAUACUUCUUUCUUGUCAUGAAGUCCCCACCUCUGUGCACCCUUCCUUUUCCCAGCUUUCUUCCUGUCCAAGCUUCUACGUCUUAUUUGUUCAGAACGCCAGCAGGCAUAUGUAGCUAGCUUAUCAUCCUGUAAAUUCUAUAUCCAUAGGAAUAUCCCUUCAAAAGGAAAGAAGAAUCAUGUCUAAAUGCUGGUAAAAAUAUAAUUAGUGUCGUCCAGGAUGAUGGAAUCAUACUUGGAGAGGGAGAGACCUAUUUCUCUCUCUUGGGCUGGAUGCCUCUAUAGACUGGUUGCUUAAAAAAAGGAAGCACAUGCCUUUAAUCUCAGCACUCAGGGAGCAGAGGCCAGCAGAUCUCUGAGUUUCAGCCAACCAGGAACACAUAGUUACACAAUGAAACUAUCUCUGGAUUAAAAUACAGAAGAGGAUUGUCUGUAGUGACACUUUAUUAGUAAAUAAAUGAACUCAUCUACUUACCCAACCAUCUGUUCAUCUGUCAUUAAUGUAUCCAAUUAUCAAUCCACCCAUCCUUCUAUCUAGUAAACAUUUAUAUAAUACCUGCAAUGUGCCAAACCCAGGGGUGGCAAUGGGAAGACAGGCAAGUAAAUGGACGGUCAGUGUACAAUGUAGACUAUGCUAGGAGCACAGAUGAACACAAAGAAUUGUGUCUGCAGUACUGGAAAGAAAAGGAUGUUGUCUUCAAGGAGAGACACUUGAAUUCAAGGCUGAGGAACAAACAAAUUGACUUUGCAGUUUUCUUUCAUUGUUACAUGGGUGCUACCAGGAUCAACAAACUAGAGGAUCAUUUUUUAAAAAAAAAAAUUAAGAGUCGAGUGUACAUAGUUGUGGGUACUUGCAGGUGAACGCAGGUGCCCGUGGAGGUCAGGAGAAGUAGUAGAUCCCCUGAACUGGAGUUAAGGGUGGUUAUGAGUUGCCUGAUGUAGGUGUUGGGAACUGACCUUCCAAGAGCAAUACCCUCUCCUAACUGUUGACCUGUUGCUGCAGCUCAGUCUCCAUCAUCCUCUGUUGUCUCUAUUUUUUGGGGGUUUGCAUGGAUAAUUGGAAUGUUUUGGGACAGUGGCACUCAAAACAAGAAGACAACUUGCCUUGGCUUUGAGUUGCUAGUUCCGGUAUCUCAGAAUCUAAGAAGGUAAGUUCUUCUUUUCCCAGUUACCCCUCGUUUAAAAGAAUUGGCACAUAUUUCAUUGUACGCAGCAAUGGGUCUCAUUAUAGUAUGUUUGCAUAUGUAUGGAAUGUCUUUUUAAUCACAGCUCCCCCAUCCUCUCUGUUGUUUCCUUCCCCCUCCAAACAUCUACUUCCUUCUCCCAGCCAUUGUUCUUACUCUUUUCAUUCUUUCUCUUCUUUUAAAAAAUUUGGCCACCAAUUUGGCCACAUUGUAUUAGUAGUUCUUAUGAAAACAUAUUUAUUUAUUAUGUUGUGUGUAUGGUGUGUGUAUGGUGUGUGUGUGUGUGUGCGCGCGUGUGUACAUGCCAUGACAUGCAUGUGGAGGUUGGAGAACAGCCUUCUGGAGUUUGUUCCCCUCUUACACCUUCACAUGGCUUCAGCAGAUUAAACUCAGGUCUUCAGGCCCGUGGAACCAUCUUAUUGGCCUUUAUUAGCAUUUCUUACAGUAUUCUGGGUAAGGGAUUAUUUGAGUGGGUAUGGUUUACUUCCUCUUGAAAAGACUUUCUAGAAACAUGCCAGCGCUGGAACAGAAGCAUCUUGUUCAUUUCUAGAGAACGGAAAGCUUCAUCCUGCUCUGUUUCAUCCCCUGAUGCUACAGGGGAAAACUCUUGUCUGUCCUCUGGCAAUAGCGAGGCAUCUUCCUCCUUAGUCCACCCAGAACUCAUUUUCUCUCCUCUUUGUGACUACUAGAUUGUUUAGAGUCUAUAAUAGGUCAUCCUGGGCUCACAUAAGCUACGCUGGGCGUGGCAAUAUUGUGAAUGAAUAUGAAGUCACAUCAAUGAAAAUCUGGGGCACUCAGAUGCUGGGGCAGCCAUUUUGCCUUAGAUAGACUGAGGGAAUUGCUACAUGGGUCCAUAGUUUCGUGGGAAAUUCUCUCCUCCUUGCCUUUCAUUUAUCCUGUACUUUCUCAUCACCGUGCUCAUAUGAUCAACAAAGGUCAUCAUGGAUCAGCUUUGGUGAGAAGGAUCCCAGCUUGAAGGCAUGAGAUUAAUUUAGUCUAGGAACCCUAGUGGAAAGGUUUCUGUUGUACGUAGGACCAUUAUGUACAGGUACUUCAAAAGCCAGGUGGUGACCAGUCUCACUAUGGCCCCAGCAGCAUAAGGCACAGUGUUUGGAUAUUGAAUAAUUCUCAUCUCCUUUGCUCGAUGAUGUAAAUUCUGUUUUAUUUGCUACUAUAUCCCCAGGACUUGAGCCUAAGCAGUUUAAUGACUUUUUGCUGCAUGAAUUAAGAACUACAAGCAAUAUGAGAGGAAUUGCCAUUUGUCCCACUGGACUCUCAGCCCUGGGCUGGGUUGCUGGAGCCUGCCCCUUGUUUGUGGUAGCUGGCUCCCACUAAUCUCAAACACCAGGCAAGAGAGACACAGGAGUGCUAAUGGAUCUGGAGACUUAAGCUCUGGAGGGCCACCUGUCACAUAAGAUUUACCUUCAAAGGCCACUUGCUCUGACCUUUCGAUAACAUUUUAAAAAAAGAAACUCAAGUAUUGACCAAAUCAGCCCUAUCUUCAAUGGAGGUCUAGACAGCUAUUUGUACUUCUAUUUGAAUUUCUUGGUUCUUUUCUUUUUGCACCUCUGGGUAAGCACAAAGGAAGGAAAGUUCCUUUGCUUGACCAGAUCUCAUUUAAAAAUUGUUUGUAUUUUUUUUUAAGUGGAACCCAAUCCCUUAAGCCUUUAAAAGUAACUUCUGCUGAGCUCAAUAAACCAUUUCCAAUGUGGCAGCUUCUAAUCCAGGAGAGCUCAGAAGACAGAUGCUAAACAACCACCGAUUGCAUCCCAGGACAGUUGGGGGGUGGGGGGGAGUCUCAGAGCUCCACAAGCUGGGGAUGUGAUCACUAAUCCCAACUCUAUUUCUGUGUCCGCUCUGUUAGCUGGCCCAACUCUGCAAUUAGUAUUCUCCUUGGUGGUGAUUUUCUUCAAAUAUAUUGGGCCCAUCAAUCACCCACUUUCCAACUCAUCUGUCUGGAUCAGUCAAUUACAAAGUUAUUUUUGAGCCGCUAGGAUUCUCAUGAAAUAGACACAAGAAGGAGCUAAACUCGUUUCAGGUUUGACCUCUGCCGCUGGGAUCUGAGGAGCUCGGUUUGCUUACACUUCAUGGCCAUCCAAUCCGAUCUGGCCUGGAGAAUAGAAAGGCCGCUUGCUUAAUUGGGAACACUUUAAUACAGAUAUCCAUUAACUUAUGCUAAAUUACAGUAAAACAUCUAUGGAGGAACUUGAUGUGACAUCUGCAUGAAUACUAAAUAACUUCAUUAUGAUUCGCGCUGUGAUGAUGAAUAUGAAACGAAUGUACCCAGAGGAGACAACUCGUCUCCCACCUAUCCAAGCCACUACUGCUUUAUUUGCCCAUGCACUGAAAAACAAACAAACAAACAAACAAACAAACAAACAACUCAACAACCUCACAAUUCUUUUUUCUGUGUCCAUCAUUUCCUUUCAGCUACUGAGCUGUCCUGGCAAGUGGAGACUGGCUUGGGCUACCCUGAGGAGUGGCCAUGAACAGAGGAGAAGUGAGAAUCCUGGUGCCAUUCUGUAUAUAGAUACAUCUUCUCCUGUGAUCUGGUGCUGUUCCACACAGUUUCUCUCCAUGUCUCUGCAUCAGCCACAGGACCUCCAGAUUGAAGGUUAUACUCUGCUAAGGGUCGUAGAGGCACAGGUGAAAGACUAUCCCUGGUUCUCCUCUUCCGGUUAUGCUCCAGGUAACCAAUCUUUCCCUCUGCCCUUGGUCUUCACACUAGAGAGCUCCACUUUAGCCUCUGGCUCUUCUGUCAGUUCAAUAGAUUUAUUCUAGUGUCUCAAGUCUACAGCCACCCUGAAACACCCCUGUACUCCAGGAUCACAGACCUGCCUCUCUCAGCCCUCCUUGUCUUUAUAAAUGGGAAUUUAAAGCUCUCUGUUACUCAGGUCACCAACCCCUGAGUACUCUUAGACUUUUCUCAUUCUGCCACACACACACACAAUCCGUUGCCACAGCCUGUGUUCUCAAAAUAUAUCCACCAGUCAGCCAUCUUUUGGUACUUCGUCUGCUUUCCCCUUGGCUCCAGCCAUCAUCGCUGACUACCCAGAGAGUUGCUCUGGCCUCUUCCUAGGUCUGAGGUCAGCAGUCUCUCUCUUAGGCCUUGUUUUAGAAGAGCCACUUGGUGUUUGCAAAGUUAUUUGUCCCUUCACUGAAUUGGGGUCAGGAUGUCACAUGGACUUUCAGACAUUAGAGAUCCACAGAUCUGAAGCAAAGGGAUGUAUACCUGUGGUUCUCACCACUAUGAGAAAGGGGCUGUUGUGCUUUCAACCUGGACUGUGGGCAAAGACGGCUUCCGUUGGUAGGUAUGCCUUCCUAAGACAUUUGCAAGCUACAUUCAGCAUGGGCCUCUUGCCUUUUUGGGGGGUGGGGGUGGGGACAUCUUACAUGUCUGCAUGAUGCUAUCUGACCCUUGCAGCUAGCUCCAUUUCCCUGUUGUUCAUCAAGAACCUAGCUCCUGUAGCCAGAUUCCCACUAUAUUUAAAUGCACUUACAUAUUAAUUUGUAGGGUAUUUGAGAAUUCAGGGUGAAUCCUGUCCCACAUAGAGCCACGUUUUACCUGCCAACCCCCACCACAGUCCUCUUGCUUGGAUGUGAGCAUCAUAGCUUUUACUUGUACUUAUCAGAGGGAAAGCUCCAGGGGGCGAUUGUGAAAAGACUCUCUUCUCCAUCGGACACAGGCAGACAUGCAGUGAGAAGAAGCCUCCCCCUGAAAUGUGCAGAGAUGGGCAGGAGUCCUGGGGUGUUCUGGUAGGAGCUUGACUCUCUACAGGGAUGUUCAUAAAGAGAACCCCCAGGUCCUUAUGGAAAGGGCAGGUCUCUAUAACCAAUGGAAUGGCAGGGGGCCCGAACAAUCUUGUUAACACAUCAAGUAAUGGAUUUUUGACAGAUGCCUUCCUGCCUUCUAGUUCCUUCUUCGUGCUACUUUCUCACUGGUCUCACUGGGAUUGGUGAUUAGUUCUCACUGUUCCCCCUUCUGAGACCAGCGAGAGGCUCUGUAUGUGCCAAGUCUUGUCGUAAAUGCCUGGUUGUGCCCACACCAGGCACUGCCUUCCAGAGGGGAACACGGUGGGGGUGAAAUUGCCUGUCUGUGAAAGCACAACCUAGUCUCCCAAGAAAUGCAGACUCUACCCUCUUCUGCCUUUCCUAAACAAACUCUCAGGCUCAGAACAGUUUCCAUUUUCUUGGGUGACCACCAACUCCAACAGACAAGGCUUUGAGAAAGCCAGGAGCCCCAGAGAUGCUGACAAUAUUCCAUGGGAAAGAGAAGGAAUAGGGACAGAGUGGCCUGCAGGAAGUCAUAAUAAAGAAGGGUGACACAAGAAUAUCCUUCUGAAGGCAGGGUUCAGUGAUGUCAUGUCAGUAUGCCCCAUCUAGCCCUAAGGUUUUACAUGUGAAAAAUUCAUGCACACCUAUUUGAACAGAAUGUAUAGUGUAUAUUAUACAUGUGUGUAUGUGUGUGUUCAUGUGUGAAGGUGCACAUGGGAAUUCAGGUACGGGCACACGUGCAUGUGUGUGUGUGUGUGUGUGUGUGUGUGUGUGUGUGUGUGUGUGUGUGUGAGGGGUGGGUAGGCAUGUGUGGGUGUGUAGGUCAGAUGUCAAUCUCAGGUGUCAUUUCUCAGAGUCCUUUGAGACAGAGGUUUUCCUUAGAACCUAGGGGGCUCAUCAGCUAGGGUAGGCUUGCUGGCUAGUGAGCCCAGGGAUGCCCCUCUCUCUGCACCUCCUCAUGGGAUUAUAAGCAUACGCCACUGUGCUUGAGUUUUAAAUGUAUGUUCUGGGAGAACCCAGAUCCUCAUACUGUGUAGCAAGCACUUACUAACCUCAGCCCCAGGAAGGAACAUUUACCAAGUGUCUCCUGUGUGUGAGAUUUGAGGCUAAGUAUUCAAAGGUGAACAAAACAGUUUCAGAGUCCAUGAAUCCUAUGAUCCAGAAUGGUAGGAAGAUGGUUGGUCCCUCCCCUUCUCCCUCUCUUCCUUCUUUCCUUUAUCUAGUACCCCUUUCCCUUCACUCUUUUUCUCCCUCCUUUCUUCUUCCUUUAUUUCCAUCCAGUGCAAAGCCCACGUGCUAUAAAGCGGGUGCAGCUAAAGGCAGCAUGGUUACAGCAUGGGAAUUGGGCUUGAAAACAGGCUCUGCCACUCACUACUUAGUGCUGUGCCCAUAGCUCCAUUUCCCUCCAUUCUGUAAUAAGAAUGGUAAGGUAUUUUAUUUCUUAGGGUUAACAUGGGGAUUAAAAGGAUAAUGUAUAUUAAAGCUCUGGGCACAUAGUAAAUGCUUAAUGAAUAGUGGGUGAAAGAAUGAAUUGGAAAAGAAGGAAAAUGCGAGAGACAGCAGAGGAAAGCUUAUCAUCGGUUGGAGGUUAGGCUGAAGUCCGUGGGGAGGAUAGUAUUAAGAGGACCUUGUAGAGUAGAGAGGAUUCGUGUGUGUAGACGAAGGCUAUCUGGACAGAAACAGCUUGAAGGCUGUAAUGGAAGGAAGAAAGGCAUGCUUCUGGAGAGGUGCAUGGAGGAAGCAGGGCUGAGGCUCAAUCAUGGAAGGCUCGGAUUGUCGUGCCAGGGACAAGGACUUGAUGCUGAGCAAAGCAAAUCAUUAGAGGCUUCAGACCGAGGUGUAGGAAGGUCAAGGUAGCAAUGAAGGCAGUAGGAAUGUCGUGGAGAAGAACUGAAGAUGGAGGAAGAGCACAGAGACACUGAUCAUCAAAGGGAGACCACGUGAGACACAUAACAAAGCUGAUGGCAAAAGAAAGGAAGAAACCAUUAGCAGCUGAUAUGCACUGCUGACCAAGGAAUGCAGACAGUGGGGAGCAAGGUUGUCUCUGGGCAUUUAGUGAGAGAACUGAGGCACAAGUGUUCUUGGAACACAGAAAAAAUGCAGUAACUUUUAGAGGAACGGUAUCUGUGCUGUGGAUGGCUCCUUAGGGACCUCGUAGGACACCCCUGUGCACAUGCUCAGUUGUAGUUGCAACUAAGCCUAUGGUCUAGGACCGAGUCUAAAGCUCAGAGCAAGGAUGUGGGAGUCUCUCUCUAAGAGUGGGGACAGAAAGCCUUAGCAAGGACACAGUCCAAAAAGGUCUAAGGGCUAAACAAACUCUUGCUCCAUGGAACCAGCAUGCUAAAUGGGAACGGACCCAGUGAGUAGCAGGAGCUGAAGUGGAAUCUGGAAAACCAAAUGCAAUGUCAAAAAUGGUGAGGAUUCAAAGUGUAGGCACAAGAUGGAUCACCCAUGUGGUCCUAAGUCUCAGAUCCAUUGAAGCCUGGGUGCUGUGUGGGAAACUAGAGAAAGGCGAGAAAAUGGAAGGUUAAAGAAGAACUGGAAAGCUGGUCACUAGGGAACAAGUGGGUCACUAGGAAGCGGGAGGGUUUUGGCAAUGGGAUGAUUAGGAGUUCUGAGUUGAGUGACAGUUGGGAUUGAAAGGUCAGACUCUAGGGAGAGUCUGAAGUCCCCAAGCAUCGUGGGUUGGGUCAGGGGAGCUGAGAGGUGGCGCUUAAAACCUGAAGAAGGAGAUCAUGAUGACCCAGAAAUCCUGCAGAUGGGAUGAGAAAAAUAAGAUAUGCUGUGACGGAUAGAUUACAGGGGAAGAGCCCAAAUUGAAAUGAAUGUGGAGAAGUAAAGAGAUAGGACCCAUUUGUUCCCUUCCCAAUAAAUGUCUCAGAGUUAACCUUUUUAGUUGGAGGGACAAAGGAUACCUACCAAACAAAUGAUCAACAGGUUUCAAAGCUAGCAAACAAUGCACGUGCUAAAACACACAGUGUUGAUCACAAUCACGUGAGUCUGGCACUUUUGAUCUUGACAAGUCCGAAACAUCCGAUGUCCUAUGAUGCACCACCAAAGGCCAGGGUUUAGGAGCACAUGUCACAAUAGGGAGCUUGUGAGGACUUUGAUGGAGGAGAUGGACAGGAAUAAAGAGAACAUUUUCAGUAACAAGAGAGUGAAUACAUAAAUGGGGGGCAGGGCAGGGGCAUGAGCGCAAUGUCCUGGAGCUCAUAGAAGGUUGAUGCAGGGUGGACACUGUACAGGAAAAAGUGGGGACAAGGAAAUGCAGCUAUGCGGACUGGCUCCAGAAUUGAAAAGCCAAUGGCAUUUUUCCUACCUUGACUUUCCUGCCAUCAUAGGCUUGGGCCUCUCUGGCCAUGGGUUUCAAUAUGUACUUCAAACAUCCUGAUCUAGGGUACCUGUGCACAUCCCUUGUCUCAGUACUGCAAGAGAAUGCUGGGUUAAGAGCAAAUUAAAGCAGGAAAGGGUUAAUUGUGUUUGCAGUAUUUUAGUCUAUCAUGGCAGGAAGGUUAUGACAGCAAGAGCUUGAAGCUACCAGUGUCACUAGGUCCACAGUCACAAAGGAGAGAGAGAGAGAGAGAGAGAGAGAGAGAGAGAGAGAGAGAGAGAGAGAGCGCAUUUGCUUGGCUCACUUUCUCCUUUGUAUUCAGCCUGGGACGGAGGCGGUGCAAUGUCACUGCCCACAUUUAGAGUGAGUCUUCCCACCUCAAUUAACCUAAUCUCCGUAAUCUCUCAUGAAUAUAUCUGGAGAUUUGUUUCCAUGGUGAUCUUAGAGCCCAUAAAUGACAAUGAAGAUUAAUUAUGACAGUCUCAAUAUUGAAUACAUAGAUCUCUCGUGGCAAUGACUGUAUGAUACUGGUGGUUGGCCCACCGGACUUGCUCUAUCUGAGGCAGAGAGCAGCUGGUCUUCACAGCUCCUUUAGCCUGUAUGGUGUCACACAGAAGGCAGAACGAGAGCUCGGUAAGUAAGUGUGGAAGGCUGAGCCCAACGUUGAGUAACUGGACACGAGAGAACAUAUACUGAACCUGGGCUUCAGUGUUGGGCCAGAGCUGCCUGCGGCUGACCAGAAAUCUCCAUGCCACAAAAAAAGAAACUCUAGAUUUCUAAAGAAAACACUGUAGGAGGCUCUCAGAGCCAUUGUUAAUUAAAAGCACUCCCAGUUCUCAGAGGGCAUUGUCUCCCUCCGUUCUCUCCCCUUGCACUGAGUGGCAGAUAAGGUGGUGCUGGACCUCUACUUGGACCACAUUUAAUUAAAUGCCUACACUGACUGCGUCCUCACAAACCCUGUUUUUUCCCUUUCCUUCCUUCCAUGCUAAAGAGGGCCAGGGCUAAUACUAAUGCAUAUGCUGUUAAACCUUUUUAAUUAACUUCAACUUCUUCCAGAGAUUUAUGUUUAAACAGUAAAUUUUUUGUUGAUACUCAAAUACAUAGGCGGCACUCAGAGUGAUGUAUGAGCACUCUUGUCCUCAAAAUGAUUCUUCGUGAGUUACCACCAGAGACAUUUUCAUGAGCCUCUUUUAUUAAAAUAAUAAUACUCAGCAAGGCAAUAAUGCUUUACAACCAGCAGCUAAUUAACCCGCCCCACCCCCCACAGGUCAGCAUUAGCAUCUGCAGGUUAGAGAUAUGAUCACCCAGCGGGGCCCCCUCCUACUUUCUAGUCAGCAACUGAACCUGGCCGGGCUUGCGUUCAGCAUCUUUGAGUAAUGAUUUUCAUUUAAAGUGCAUCUUUGUUCUUGGAUGGUAGCUCCAUCUAUUAUUACCGUUAUUUAUUUUGCUCUUGUUUAGCGCCUCCCCUGCACUCGGUAUCAGGCUGUCUGAUCUGCGGGCGACCUCUCACACCAGAUCGUCACCAGCUCUUGGAAAAAUUCCCAUGCCUUUGAAACUCUUGUCUAAUUGCAAAAUCCAUUCACUUUCCUACGACUCUCAAUUUGUGCUCCAAGUAUUUUUAAUCAGGAUUACCGCUGUCGACUGUAAUUGCAACACAGCAACCCUUUGCCAACCAAGCCAGUGCACCUACCCAAGCUUCUGUCCCAUUCUUCAUGUCGAGGCUGCACUUUCCAGCGAGCUGUGCAGUUAUCCUCUCUGCUGUAUCACCGGUGAGCCAAUUAUUUCAAUUUUGGCAUCAGUUUCAGAAGAGAGUUUAAUGAUCCUCAAUGGUAUAAACUGAAUUUUUAUUCCUACAGCAAUUUAGUAAUGAUGAUGGUACUUAAAUACGUAGAAUAUAUUUCUCAUCUUCCCACCCUGACAAACAAGGGGCCAGACAAUUGGUUCAGUCACUUCUUUGGACCUUCACAUUGACACCAUUUUUGCAGACUUACGAGCUUAAGGUUGGUUAUCGCUGUUCCUCUGCCAAGGGCUGGGAAAAGAGAAUCCCGGAGACCCUCUCACUCUCUGCUGAGGAUUCAGGUGGACAUCAGAACAAGGUCCCAGGACUUGCACAUUCACGUUAAUUAAGUCAUUUGUUCACUUAUUCAACAAAUAUUUAAUGAGUUUCUACUAGGUAAGAGAACUCGGCCCCGGGAGAGAGCUGAGAUGUACCAGACCUGUUCUGUUUCCUCUAAUCAAAUUCAACUCCAACCCCCCAGCUGGGUUCCAAAUUAUUUGAGUACUUCAUUUACGCAUAUGUUUGCUCCAUCCAUUCAGCAAACAUUCAGCAGGCACCUUCUAGCUAGAAGCUAUUCCUCUGGGAGCUGAAUGGUUUACAAAGAAGAUCUAAGCUGUCAGCAAAUCCUGUUGCCUCUUCUUUCAUCAGUAAUUUGGGAAUCUGGUUCUUUUGUAUCCUCCGUUGCCUUGAUAUGGACCAAUCACAGUGGUCCUGAGCCUGGUGUGUGGCCAGAACGUUCUUACUGAACUCCCUGUAUGAGGGAGACCUGAACCAACCUGACUGACUUUGAGGCUAUGGCUCACCCAAGUGAGAAGAUCUGUUAUUAAUGUGGACAGCACUGUGGCAUGGGAUCCUGGGAGGAAAAGGAUGGGAAAGGAGAAGGGGUGCUGAGCACCAGGAAGCUGAGUUUGCGUCCUGAUUGGAUACAAUGUGACCUCGUGCUUCUACAGCCAUGGCUUCCCUGACUGGAUGGACUGUGACCCUCUAACUGCAAGCCAGAUUGAGCUCCUCCUCCUUUAAGUUGGUGUCCACAGAUACUUUGUUACAAUUUUGAGAGAGGUAACCAAUGUAAGCAGUGUCUGCACUGAUUGCCCCACCCACCGUGUAUCCUCAGCUCAGCAGAGUGAUCUUUUAAAACAUA
Molecule: long non-coding RNA, 31516 nt
Organism: Mus musculus (house mouse)
Lineage: Eukaryota; Metazoa; Chordata; Mammalia; Rodentia; Muridae
Product: predicted gene, 33561
Exons: 2
Source: RefSeq, a predicted model, not a curated record